Molecule: ribosomal RNA, 301 nt
Filed under: uncultured bacterium
Lineage: Bacteria
Description: partial 16S ribosomal RNA
Rfam family: Bacterial small subunit ribosomal RNA
Source: RNAcentral
CAGCCGCCGCGGUAAUACGUAGGGUCCGAGCGUUGUCCGGAAUUAUUGGGCGUAAAGGGCUCGUAGGCGGUUUGUCGCGUCGGGAGUGAAAACCAGCAGCUUAACUGCUGGCCUGCUUUCGAUACGGGCAGACUUGAGGCAUUCAGGGGAGAACGGAAUUCCUGGUGUAGCGGUGAAAUGCGCAGAUAUCAGGAGGAACACCGGUGGCGAAGGCGGUUCUCUGGGAAUGUUCUGACGCUGAGGAGCGAAAGUGUGGGGAGCGAACAGGAUUAGAUACCCCUGUAGUCCCUGUCUCUUAUAU